Molecule: long non-coding RNA, 452 nt
Organism: Alligator mississippiensis (American alligator)
Lineage: Eukaryota; Metazoa; Chordata; Crocodylia; Alligatoridae
Exons: 3
Source: RefSeq, a predicted model, not a curated record
AGUGGAGCCGGGCCGGGUCAAGCCCCGCCCAGGCCCCUACUUGGCCCAGCCCCCCAGGGAGCAACGCGACCGGAGCCGCACAAACAGGCUGCGCAAACAGGCGCGCUUCUCUGCCGGCGUGCUCAUGGUUCUCAUACUGGCAGAGUAGCGUGAAGAAAUCUGCAAUCCAUAGACAAACUCUUGGAAGGAGACAAGUCUGGAGUGGGCAGAGUGUGUCUGCUUUCCUCAGAGCAAGAUGGGAACUCCACCUGCUUACACAGUUAUAUUCAAAAAGUUGAAUAUGACCAACUAUUUCUGGAAGAUUUUUGGACUAUUUUGGUAUCUUCCCUUGUGUGUUCCUCUUAAGAUGGGAGAAUGAGCUGCUAUUGGUGCUUGAGAAACUUUGUGUUUCCUGGAUAUCAGGACGCAAAUACCAAUACAAUUCAAAAUUAAACAUUUGCUUAGUCACUGUU